This 497-nucleotide ribosomal RNA is filed under the name uncultured bacterium. Its description in RNAcentral is "partial 16S ribosomal RNA". It matches the Rfam family "Bacterial small subunit ribosomal RNA", at positions 28 to 507 of the family's 1533-position model. The record is from RNAcentral.
GAUGAACGCUGGCGGCGUGCCUAAUACAUGCAAGUCGAGCGAACGGACGAGAAGCUUGCUUCUCUGAUGUUAGCGGCGGACGGGUGAGUAACACGUGGAUAACCUACCUAUAAGACUGGGAUAACUUCGGGAAACCGGAGCUAAUACCGGAUAAUAUUUUGAACCGCAUGGUUCAAAAGUGAAAGACGGUCUUGCUGUCACUUAUAGAUGGAUCCGCGCUGCAUUAGCUAGUUGGUAAGGUAACGGCUUACCAAGGCAACGAUGCAUAGCCGACCUGAGAGGGGUAUCGGCCCCACCGGGAACGAGAAACGGGCCCGACCCCCUAGGGGGGCCACAGGAGGGAAACUUCCCCAAGGGGCGAAAGCCUGGAGGGGCAAAGCCCGGGGAGUGAUGAAGGGUCUCGGGUCUUAAAAAUCUUUUAAUUGGGAAGAAAAAUUGUGUAAGUAACUUGGCACAACUUGACGGUACCUAAACAGAAAACCACGGCUAAAUUCGUG